AAACUUUGAAAAUUAUGAUGGUGCAGUGGGAUUUGUAAAUGUACAUAGCAAUCACUGGAAGUUUGUGUUUCUUCAUGCCAUGUUAGAGCAAUUAUUUGUUGUUGACUCAGCUGAUGUCUCGAAUGACCUCAAGGACUCAAAAUAGCCGCCACACGUUUUCGACAAUAUUUCAAGACACGAUUCAAUUUACAUGGCAAAAGGGACUGGUUGAAUAUAAAAUGGAAACCAAGCACCAUUGACCAUACAGUGCAGCAAGAUACAACAAGUUGUGGGGUGUUUGUUGCGCAGG
This is a long non-coding RNA of Sinocyclocheilus grahami, 289 nucleotides long. RefSeq lists it as uncharacterized. NCBI's taxonomy places the organism in Eukaryota, Metazoa, Chordata, Actinopteri, Cypriniformes, Cyprinidae. The transcript has 3 exons. The record is from RefSeq and is a predicted model, not a curated record.